This 234-nucleotide unclassified non-coding RNA is filed under the name uncultured fungus. RNAcentral's name for it is "sequence contains ITS1". Lineage: Eukaryota; Fungi. The record is from RNAcentral.
GUAUUGUAUUGCGUUAAACGCGGCAUACAUUCCAUAAGACUUUAUUGUGGUGUGUGUGUGUAAAGACGUAGGACCACAGCAAGGGGACAGAGUCUCCAAGGCCAUAGAACUACAGAGGGUGCACAGGUGUGAGUGGAUGUGUAAACAGAGCGUGCACAUGCCCCCAUACAGGGACCAGCAACAACUCUUGUUGACAAUUCGGUAAUGAUCCUUCCGCAGGUUCACCUACGGAAA